CUGAUGCUUGGCCUUCACCGGGCAUGUGCUCGCUCCGAGUCUAUUUAUCUUCUCUUGUGCACCUCUUGUAGUCUUUGAGAAAGUGGAACCYCUCGCAGCGAUGCGGUAUGGGGGGACUUGGGCCUCACACGCCCUUCCCCUGCUUGCUUUCUUCAAGGCUAUGUUUUCAUAUACACUAUAAAGUUACAGAAUGUCUUUUAACGAUUGUCGUUCACGCGCAGUCAUUAAACCUAUACAACUUUCAGCAACGGAUCUCUUGGCUCUCCCAUCGAUGAAGAACGCAGCGAAAUGCGAUAAGUAAUGUGAAUUGCAGAAUUCAGUGAAUCAUCGAAUCUUUGAACGCACCUUGCGCCCUUUGGUAUUCCGAAGGGCAUGCCUGUUUGAGUGUCAUUAAAUUCUCAACCUUGCUCGCUUUUACCGGCUUGAGUGAGGCUUGGAUGUGAGGGCUUUGCUGGCUUCCUUCAGUGGAUGGUCUGCUCCCUUCAAAUGCAUUAGUGGGAUCUCUUGUGGACCGUCACUUGGUGUGAUAAUUAUCUAUGCCUCGUCGACCUUGAAGCAAAAUUUAUGGGAACCUGCUUAUAACCGUCUCGCAAGGGACAAAAAU
This 604-nucleotide ribosomal RNA is filed under the name Mycena hudsoniana. RNAcentral's name for it is "eukaryotic LSU rRNA". The stretch from base 237 to 390 matches the Rfam family "5.8S ribosomal RNA". The record is from RNAcentral. Lineage: Eukaryota; Fungi; Basidiomycota; Agaricomycetes; Agaricales; Mycenaceae.